RNAcentral lists this ribosomal RNA (253 nucleotides) under uncultured bacterium. RNAcentral's name for it is "partial 16S ribosomal RNA". It matches the Rfam family "Bacterial small subunit ribosomal RNA", at positions 524 to 776 of the family's 1533-position model. The record is from RNAcentral.
UACGUAGGGCGCAAGCGUUAUCCGGAAUUAUUGGGCGUAAAGGGCGCGUAGGCGGCUUGGCAAGUGGGAGGUGAAAUCCCUCGGCUUAACCGAGGAACUGCCUCCCAAACUGCUUGGCUUGAGACCAGGAGAGGUGAGUGGAAUUCCCAGUGUAGCGGUGAAAUGCGUAGAUAUCGGGAGGAAUACCAGUGGCGAAGGCGGCGACCUGGGCCAAUACUGACGCUGAGGUGCGAAAGCGUGGGGAGCAAACAGG